GAUCCUGGCUCAGAUUGAACGCUGGCGGCAGGCCUAACACAUGCAAGUCGAGCGGAAACGAGUUAUCUGAACCUUCGGGGAACGAUAACGGCGUCGAGCGGCGGACGGGUGAGUAAUGCCUAGGAAAUUGCCCUGAUGUGGGGGAUAACCAUUGGAAACGAUGGCUAAUACCGCAUGAUGCCUACGGGCCAAAGAGGGGGACCUUCGGGCCUCUCGCGUCAGGAUAUGCCUAGGUGGGAUUAGCUAGUUGGUGAGGUAAGGGCUCACCAAGGCGACGAUCCCUAGCUGGUCUGAGAGGAUGAUCAGCCACACUGGAACUGAGACACGGUCCAGACUCCUACGGGAGGCAGCAGUGGGGAAUAUUGCACAAUGGGCGCAAGCCUGAUGCAGCCAUGCCGCGUGUGUGAAGAAGGCCUUCGGGUUGUAAAGCACUUUCAGUCGUGAGGAAGGUGGUGUAGUUAAUAGCUGCAUUAUUUGACGUUAGCGACAGAAGAAGCACCGGCUAACUCCGUGCCAGCAGCCGCGGUAAUACGGAGGGUGCGAGCGUUAAUCGGAAUUACUGGGCGUAAAGCGCAUGCAGGUGGUUUGUUAAGUCAGAUGUGAAAGCCCGGGGCUCAACCUCGGAAUAGCAUUUGAAACUGGCAGACUAGAGUACUGUAGAGGGGGGUAGAAUUUCAGGUGUAGCGGUGAAAUGCGUAGAGAUCUGAAGGAAUACCGGUGGCGAAGGCGGCCCCCUGGACAGAUACUGACACUCAGAUGCGAAAGCGUGGGGAGCAAACAGGAUUAGAUACCCUGGUAGUCCACGCCGUAAACGAUGUCUACUUGGAGGUUGUGGCCUUGAGCCGUGGCUUUCGGAGCUAACGCGUUAAGUAGACCGCCUGGGGAGUACGGUCGCAAGAUUAAAACUCAAAUGAAUUGACGGGGGCCCGCACAAGCGGUGGAGCAUGUGGUUUAAUUCGAUGCAACGCGAAGAACCUUACCUACUCUUGACAUCCAGAGAACUUUCCAGAGAUGGAUUGGUGCCUUCGGGAACUCUGAGACAGGUGCUGCAUGGCUGUCGUCAGCUCGUGUUGUGAAAUGUUGGGUUAAGUCCCGCAACGAGCGCAACCCUUAUCCUUGUUUGCCAGCGAGUAAUGUCGGGAACUCCAGGGAGACUGCCGGUGAUAAACCGGAGGAAGGUGGGGACGACGUCAAGUCAUCAUGGCCCUUACGAGUAGGGCUACACACGUGCUACAAUGGCGCAUACAGAGGGCRGCCAACUUGCGAAAGUGAGCGAAUCCCAAAAAGUGCGUCGUAGUCCGGAUUGGAGUCUGCAACUCGACUCCAUGAAGUCGGAAUCGCUAGUAAUCGUGGAUCAGAAUGCCACGGUGAAUACGUUCCCGGGCCUUGUACACACCGCCCGUCACACCAUGGGAGUGGGCUGCAAAAGAAGUAGGUAGUUUAACCUUCGGGGGGACGCUUACCACUUUGUGGUUCAUGACUGGGGUGAAGUCGUAACAG
This 1500-nucleotide ribosomal RNA is filed under the name Vibrio neocaledonicus. Its description in RNAcentral is "bacterial SSU rRNA". The record is from RNAcentral. Lineage: Bacteria; Pseudomonadati; Pseudomonadota; Gammaproteobacteria; Vibrionales; Vibrionaceae.